Molecule: long non-coding RNA, 220 nt
Filed under: Hordeum vulgare
Lineage: Eukaryota; Viridiplantae; Streptophyta; Magnoliopsida; Poales; Poaceae
Description: long non-coding RNA (HVUL_LNC000492)
Source: RNAcentral
UUUAUUAUAGCCUCUAGGGCAUAUUUCCAACAGAGCCUACCCCGGGGUUAUCCCCCCAUCAAUGAAUGAUAUGGCGUCCAUGAACGUCUCCACCGUCGGCUCAUGAGCAGGUGGUGUACCUCAGCAUUCACACCCCUUCGACGCACCCUAGCUCCGUCAAUCACGUGCAACCAAACCACCCGCGUGGCCAUAGUUGCGCACCCGCACCCGAGACACAUGC